Molecule: ribosomal RNA, 408 nt
Filed under: uncultured microorganism
Description: bacterial SSU rRNA
Rfam family: Bacterial small subunit ribosomal RNA
Source: RNAcentral
GAGUUUGAUCGUGGCUCAGAUUGAACGCUGGCGGCAGGCCUAACACAUGCAAGUCGAACGGUAACAGGAAACAGCUUGCUGUUUCGCUGACGAGUGGCGGACGGGUGAGUAAUGUCUGGGAAACUGCCUGAUGGAGGGGGAUAACUACUGGAAACGGUAGCUAAUACCGCAUAACGUCGCAAGACCAAAGAGGGGGACCUUCGGGCCUCUUGCCAUCGGAUGUGCCCAGAUGGGAUUAGCUAGUAGGUGGGGUAACGGCUCACCUAGGCGACGAUCCCUAGCUGGUCUGAGAGGAUGACCAGCCACACUGGAACUGAGACACGGUCCAGACUCCUACGGGAGCAGCAGUGGGAAUAUUGCACAAUGGGCGCAAGCCUGAUGCAGCCAUGCCGCGUGUAUGAAGAGGCC